AUGGCGUCUAGAGCAGCGGCGGCCGCCGUGGUCGUCCUGGCCUUGGUCUGCGCCGUGCAGUCGUCCCUCUCGGCGGCGACCGCCGGGGGUCUGUCCCCUGACUUCCACGCGGUGACGUGCCCUCCGCUGGAGCAAAUCGUGGCGUUCCACGUGGGGGAGGCCUUCAAGAACGACUCCGGCGUGGCGCCGGCGCUCAUCCGCAUCCUCUUCCACGACUGCUUCCCGCAGGGCUGCGACGGGUCGGUGCUCAUCGAGGGCCCCGGCACGGAGCAGGACGAGAUCCCCAACAAGACGCUCCGCAGGGUGGCGCUGGACCUCAUUGACCGCAUCCGUAUGCGCGUGCACAGCGCCUGCAGCCGCACGGUCUCGUGCGCCGACAUCACCGUGCUCGCCACCCGCGAGUCGCUCGUCCUGGCCGGCGGGCCCCGCUUCGAGGUCGCCCUCGGCCGGCGCGACUCCUUCUUCCCGGCGUCGCCGGUCCAGGUCGGCCUGCUGCCGGCGCCCUUCCACCCCGUGGACAAGCUCAUCAAGUCCUUCGGCGACCGCGGCCUGAACGUGACGGACCUGGUGGCCCUCUCCGGCGCGCACACCUUCGGCGUCGCCCACUGCCCGGCCUUCGAUGAUCGCUUCAAGAAUGGCUUCGACACGAACCCGGCCAUCGACCCCAAGUUCGCCACGGGGCUGCGGAACAAGUGCGCCAAGGACACCCCCGAAGGCACCCUGAAGCAGAACCUCGACGUGCGCACGCCGGACGUCUUCGACAACAAGUACUACUUCGACCUGAUCGCGAGGCAGGGCCUGUUCAAGUCGGACCAGGGCCUCUUCGACCACCCCACCACCAAGCGCAUGGCCACCCGCUUCUCGCUCAACCAGGACGCCUUCUUUGAGCAGUUCGCCAGGUCCAUGGCCAAGAUGGUCAACAUGGACCUGCUCACAGGCGACAGGGGCGAGAUCCGGGCCAGAUGCGCCGUCCGCGGUACUCCCCCACGCAUCCAGGCCGCCGCCGCCGGCGAUGACGAGGGGAUCUCCGCCGACAUGUAA
RNAcentral lists this ribosomal RNA (1041 nucleotides) under Triticum aestivum (bread wheat). RNAcentral's name for it is "partial small subunit ribosomal RNA". The record is from RNAcentral. Lineage: Eukaryota; Viridiplantae; Streptophyta; Magnoliopsida; Poales; Poaceae.